This is a long non-coding RNA of Homo sapiens (human), 681 nucleotides long. Ensembl annotates it as keratin 16 pseudogene 3. Its record names the gene KRT16P3. The record is from Ensembl. NCBI's taxonomy places the organism in Eukaryota, Metazoa, Chordata, Mammalia, Primates, Hominidae.
AGAAAGCGUCCCUGGAGAACAGCCUGGAGGAAACCAAAGGCUGCCACUGCAUGCAGCUGUCCCAGAUCCAGGGACUGAUUGGCAGUGUGGAGGAGCAGCUGGCCCAGCUACGCUGUGAGAUGGAGCAGCAGAGCCGGGAGUACCAGAUCUUGCUGGACAUGAAGACACGGCUGGAGCAGGAGAUCGCCACCUACCGCUGCCUGCUGGAGGGCGAGGACGCCCACCUUUCCUCCCCACACGCAUCUGGCCAAUCCUGUUCUUCCCGAGUGGGUAAGGCUCCUGAGGCUCCCCGGCACUGCAGCCCCUCUGCCUGUUUCCAUGGAGUGGGGGCCAGGCCCUUCUCCUCAGAGCUCCCAGCCCUCCCUUCUCCCUGCCCUGGAGUUGGCUUAGCUCUCAGACCCCUUCUCACCUCCUCUUCUCUCUCCCACAGUCUUCACCUCCUCUUCGUCCUCUUCGAGCCGUCAGACCUGGCCCAUCCUCAAGGAGCAGGGCUCAUCCAGCUUCAGCCAGGGCCAGUGCUCCUAGAACUGAGCUGCCUCUACCACAGCCUCCUGCCCACCAGCUGGCCUCACCUCCUGAAGGCCUGGGUCAGGACCCUGCUCUCCCAGUGCAGUUCCCAGCUGUCUCCCUGCUCCUCUACUGGUGAUGGGCUAAUAAAGCUGACUUUCUGGUUGAUGCAAA